GAUAAACGCUGGCGGCGUGCCUAACACAUGCAAGUCGAACGCCCUUUUGCGCAAGUGAGAGGGAGUGGCGGACGGGUGAGUAGCACGUGGGUACCUACCUUGAGGUGAGGAAUACCACCGAGAAAUCGGUGACAAGACCGCAUGUCUUCGGCACCGAAGAAAGUCUCGCAAGAGACGCCACAAGAUGAGCCUGCGCCUGAUUAGCUGGUUGGUGAGGUAACAGCUCACCAAGGCAACGAUCAGUAGCUGGUCUGAGAGGAUGAUCAGCCACACUGGGAUUGAGAACGGCCCAGACUCCCGUACGGGGGGCGA
Molecule: ribosomal RNA, 312 nt
Filed under: uncultured bacterium
Lineage: Bacteria
Description: bacterial SSU rRNA
Rfam family: Bacterial small subunit ribosomal RNA
Source: RNAcentral